This 492-nucleotide ribosomal RNA is filed under the name uncultured bacterium. Its description in RNAcentral is "partial 16S ribosomal RNA". It matches the Rfam family "Bacterial small subunit ribosomal RNA", at positions 29 to 507 of the family's 1533-position model. The record is from RNAcentral.
AGUGAACGCUGGCGGUAGGCCUAACACAUGCAAGUCGAACGGCAGCACAGUAAGAGCUUGCUCUUACGGGUGGCGAGUGGCGGACGGGUGAGGAAUACAUCGGAAUCUACUUUUUCGUGGGGGAUAACGUAGGGAAACUUACGCUAAUACCGCAUACGACCUACGGGUGAAAGCAGGGGAUCUUCGGACCUUGCGCGAUUGAAUGAGCCGAUGUCGGAUUAGCUAGUUGGCGGGGUAAAGGCCCACCAAGGCGACGAUCCGUAGCUGGUCUGAGAGGAUGAUCAGCCACACUGGAACUGAGACACGGUCCAGCCUCCUACGGGAGGCAGCAGUGGGGAAUAUUGGACAAUGGGCGCAAGCCUGAUCCAGCCAUACCGCGUGGGUGAAGAAGGCCUUCGGGUUGUAAAGCCCUUUUGUUGGGAAAGAAAAGCAGCAGGUUAAUACCCCGAUGUUCUGACGGUACCUAAAGAAUAAGCACCGGCUAACUUCGUG